AACGAACGCUGGCGGCAUGCCUAACACAUGCAAGUCGAACGAGACCUUCGGGUCUAGUGGCGCACGGGUGCGUAACGCGUGGGAACUUGCCCUUAGGUUCGGAAUAACUCCCCGAAAGGGGUGCUAAUACCGGAUAAUGUCUUCGGACCAAAGAUUUAUCGCCUUUGGAUGGGCCCGCGUUGGAUUAGCUAGUUGGUAGGGUAAAAGCCUACCAAGGCGACGAUCCAUAGCUGGUCUGAGAGGAUGAUCAGCCACACUGGGACUGAGACACGGCCCAGACUCCUACGGGAGGCAGCAGUGGGGAAUAUUGGACAAUGGGCGAAAGCCUGAUCCAGCAAUGCCGCGUGAGUGAUGAAGGCCUUAGGGUUGUAAAGCUCUUUUACCCGGGAUGAUAAUGACAGUGCCGGGAGAAUAAGCUCCGGCUAACUCCGUG
RNAcentral lists this ribosomal RNA (433 nucleotides) under uncultured bacterium. RNAcentral's name for it is "partial 16S ribosomal RNA". It matches the Rfam family "Bacterial small subunit ribosomal RNA", at positions 29 to 507 of the family's 1533-position model. The record is from RNAcentral.